CUGGGAGCUUGCCCACCUGAGGAGGCUUCUUCCGGCUGAAGGAGAGGCUGGGCCCUUGCCCUGAGAGAAUGCCCACUCUGCAGGGAGACCUUCCCCUCCUUCAGGAAGUUCCUUCUCUAACUUCAGGAAUAUCUAGAUACCUCCUCACUUCCCGUCUCCAGGUGGAUCCGGCCCUGGAUCUUAAGGAGCCAGUGGUUCUAGACCUCCUCUGUGGUCAAAGGACCUAGUCUCUUUAACAAGGACCUGGGAGCGCCGUCCCAUCAGGAGUGCCCGGCAAUCACAGCUGAGGAGGAGAGCUCCUCUCCCCUCAGCCACGAGGUGGACGAGAGCUCCAACACCUGGUCCUGCUGCAUCAGCGGGGGACUCGGGAAGAGUUGGGAUGCUGAGAGGAUCAGCUGACAAAGGAGGCUUCUCUGAGUUUGUGCUGGGAUCUGGCGGUGGCCUCCUUGCCCAAACCAGCCUGAUGGGUAGGGGGAUGGAUUGGCAGCGGAGGGCUGGGGGCAGCGAGGGCUGACAUCAUGAAGCUUGAUGCUGAAUUUGACACACUUCAAGCUGAACAUCUCUAUCUACUUACCCAGGAGUUUGGGGAUGUCUUGGACUCCAAAGCUGAUAUGGGAAUUUGGGAAAAAACCUCAAAGCUUUUUAGGGGAUAAGAAAAGAGUGUGAGAGUUUUACUUUGUUCAGAAAGGAGAAUUUAUGGAAGUAUAGCUCACGAUCUAUGACUUGCACCCCAAAACUGCCAGUCUACCAUGUGAGAUAUAAAACCAAUGGCCCUGGGGUGCGUUCUUCCUGCCCCUCAUCCAGGUGGUUGUGCCCCCAUCUUCACCCCUAACCAUUCUGCUUCCUUUCAUUCAGAGAAGGUCUGGGAAUAUGUUUGUGUGGGACUCACUUCCCCAAAAGCUCCAGUCGUCCCACAUCCUACAAGUGUGUUCCUGAACCUUCUACUUGCCCUUGUAACUCCCAGACUGCUAGCUUCUUCCCAUUCUGGCGAGGGUCAGUGCCUUCCACCUGCCUGGACUCCCGUAGCCCACCCUUCACUCUUUCCUCUUUGGCCCCUUCCAGAGGGGAAAAUCAACAGUAAUAAAAAGGAAAAUGGGUAAGGAAAUAACGCCCUGUCCCAAUGCCUGUGUCUGUCUGCAGUGCACUCUGUGGGUCAGAGAGACAGGACGGUUGCCAGAGAGCAGGUGGCUGGGGCUUCCUCCUCUAGGUCAAUUCCCUCUCCUGAUCCCCGUCUCCUAGCAAGACCCCGGCCAAUCGCAAGCUUGAUCCCCAAAUCAGGGGUGAUUAUCGCCCAUCACUACCUUGUCCGACCACCAGAGGGAGGUAGAGAGCAAAGCCUACCGCCCGCCUAGCACCAGGCGCCCCGCAGCCUCCCGCUUCAGCAUUAAGGGGCUUUUAAUUGAUCUAAAGAGUCCUCGCAUGUUAGUCUAACUUAAAUAUCCUCCAGCACAACUUAAACUCUGUCCCAGAGUCCCCCGAACAUAAGCCAGGACUCUGAGGAGGAGCCUCUGAACCCUAAGGCAGGGAUUACAGGUGUGAGCCACUGUGCCCAGCCUGGUUUGGGUUUAAGACUUAAAGAAGAGAUAUUUGGGAGCAUCCGUCAUAUUGAAUGAGACUUUAGGGACAGAAGUGGAGUAGUGACUUUUUAGGGAGUUUUAUAGAGUAUGGUAUGGUCUAAUCUUCCCCUUCGCCCCAUUCCCUCAAGAAAACCUCCAGUAAAAAUCAAAUUUACUCUU
This is a long non-coding RNA of Lemur catta (Ring-tailed lemur), 1736 nucleotides long. RefSeq lists it as uncharacterized. The record is from RefSeq and is a predicted model, not a curated record. The transcript has 2 exons. Lineage: Eukaryota; Metazoa; Chordata; Mammalia; Primates; Lemuridae.